CACCGGCGGCUCGAGUGGUGGCCACUUUUAUUGGGUCUAAAGCGUACGUAGCCGGCUUGGCAAGUCCCCUGGGAAAUCUGGCGGCUUAACCGUCAGGCGUCCAGAGGAUACUGCCAGGCUUGGGACCGGGAGAGGUGAGAGGUACCUCAGGGGUAGGGGUGAAAUCUUGUGAUCCCUGAGGGACCACCAGUGGCGAAGGCGUCUCACUAGAACGGGUCCGACGGUCAGGGACGAAAGCUGGGGGCACGAACCGG
RNAcentral lists this ribosomal RNA (254 nucleotides) under uncultured microorganism. RNAcentral's name for it is "partial 16S ribosomal RNA". It matches the Rfam family "Archaeal small subunit ribosomal RNA", at positions 474 to 727 of the family's 1478-position model. The record is from RNAcentral.